CCCUUAGAUGUCCUGGGCCGCACGCGUGCUACACUGAUGCAUUCAACGAGUCUAAAACCUGGUCUGAUAGGGCUGGGUAAUCUUUUGAAAGUGCAUCGUGAUUGGGAUAGAUGAUUGCAAUUCUUCAUCUUCAACGAGGAAUGCCUAGUAAACGCAAGUCAUCAGCUUGCAUUGAUUACGUCCCUGCCCUUUGUACACACCGCCCGUCGCUCCUACCGAUUGAAUGAUCCGAUGAAUAUCAUGGAUUGAGAGUACGAAUGGGUUCGCUCAUUUCUGCUGCUCGAGAAGUGAAGUAAAUCUUAUCAUUUAGAGGAAGGAGAAGUCGUAACA
This 330-nucleotide ribosomal RNA is filed under the name uncultured eukaryote. RNAcentral describes it as "partial 18S ribosomal RNA". It matches the Rfam family "Eukaryotic small subunit ribosomal RNA", at positions 1470 to 1796 of the family's 1831-position model. The record is from RNAcentral.